Molecule: long non-coding RNA, 372 nt
Organism: Hyla sarda
Lineage: Eukaryota; Metazoa; Chordata; Amphibia; Anura; Hylidae
Exons: 3
Source: RefSeq, a predicted model, not a curated record
AAGCCCUUUUAGUCAACUGUCUAAGAUGGACUUUUGAUUAAGGAACAGAGCUGGCUGUCACUGCUGCUCAUAUCCGAGCCUGGUCCUGUACAGAAGAUCAAGGGGCUAUCGGAAUGGUACUCAGUACUCAGACAUUUAUCCCUAUCCUGUCAUUAGGAGGCACAUCGAGGAGUUGCAGUUUCCAUGCCAGCAUCGUUCGGAGCAAAUAAAGGAGAAGGCAGAGAUGCUAAUUUGUAGACACGGCUUCGACGUGAAAUGAGGCAAAGCAAUGCUCCGGCUACUGUUGAGAGACCAGAUAGCUACUGCUGCCUACUCAUAAAGAGAACCAUUAAGGAGCAAUGGUUUAUUUCUCUUCUUCCUGAAAUCAUAAAG